RNAcentral lists this long non-coding RNA (887 nucleotides) under Populus trichocarpa (black cottonwood). RNAcentral's name for it is "long non-coding RNA (PTRI_LNC000148)". The record is from RNAcentral. Lineage: Eukaryota; Viridiplantae; Streptophyta; Magnoliopsida; Malpighiales; Salicaceae.
AAAAUUUGGUGGAGAAUAAAAGAGAGAAAGUUCCAAGGGAUCGCCGGGGAAGGAAAAAAAAUUUGAAGAUCACAAGUAAUAAAAAGAGACUAGAAAAAGACAUUAACAAAGAAAAAAAAAAAACAUGAGAAAUAAUACCUUUUCCACUCCUCUUCCAAAAAAAAAAAAAUUCAACCCAAGCCGUCAUUUUUUUUUUAAGCCAGAAUCUAUCUAGCCACACUGCCACAGACCCCAUCUUUUCCACCUCACACAGGUGCCACAUUCUCUCUUCAAUCCCCCAUGAUCAUGUUUGCAAAGAAGUAGCAACAGCCACCACCAGACCACAAGCAAGCCACCAUAAAUCUAUCUCGUUCCUCUCUAAUACUAACUGACAGCCUCUCUCCCAACACCAGCACGAAACACCCAUCUUCUCCACACAGUCGCAGAUCUGCCCAAAUGAACCCAACAAUAAUCAAGAUCGUGUUCCACCAAGAAUGAGGUCUUUCCUGCCUGGUUUUUUGUAGGUUUCGGUAGAGGAGCAUGGAACACAUACGUCGUCUCACCAGCCCUUGCUUCACGCAUUGCCUACUGUCCCGAGUGUGACCUCCACAAACCGUCACUGCCGAGCUCAUGAGUUCCAGCAGCUUUCGACCGACUCCAAUGACUCUCGAAGGUCAAUUUCAAACCCCUAACGCGGUAAUUUAUUUGUUUUGGAUAAUUUGUAAUAUAUUUGUUGAUUUUUUAUUGUGUGGGUGUGUGUUGGAUGAUAUUAUUCUACAUGUGUGGAUGUGUUCGUUUGAUUAUUGUGAGACUUAAUUGGUGUAAUUAAAAAGGUUGCUAUUUUUUUUUUGUUUUUUCCUUGCGUGAUGUUUGUUGAUUGUCGUUUUUAUAAUAGAAUUGAUCCAAUA